CUCCCGUGAGAGGGCCUUCGCGGUGGAACAAACACUCGCUUAGCAGCGGAAGACUCCGAGUUCUCGGUACUCUUCAGGGAUGAGUCAUGUGGCAGUGGAAAAUGCGCUCGGGCUGGACCAGCAGUUUGCUGGCCUAGACCUGAACUCUUCAGAUAAUCAGAGUGGAGGAAGUACAGCCAGCAGUUGGAGUGCAAUGGUGUGAUCUCGGCUCACCGCAGUCUCUGCCUCCGGGUUCAAGCGAUUCUCCUGCCUCAGCCUCCCGAAUAGCUGUGCCUUUCUGAUAAAACAUCAAUGACUAGCUGGCUCUCUUGAGUAAAAGCAGCUAAUCAUUGGAAAGAACCUUAUUAUAUCAAAUUAUCUCUAGAAGAGUUUUUGUCCAUUAUAAAUCCUGAGCCCAGUUUAGAGGUGAUGGGAAUGUGUCCCUGUUAACUGACUAUAUUUAUUAAAUUGAAUUAAGGGAAUAUGCAUUUCAUUGGUUAUAGCUACUCCUUUCUCCUGAAGAACAGAAGACUAUACUGAAUUUUGGAUUGGUGGUUAGGUUAGGUUUUCAAAUGUGUCAUUUCUUUUAAAAAGGCAUUAGAAAAGUUGCUUUUUUUCUUCUAAGGGGGGUUAUUUAGAGACUUGUUAGAGGUUAGUGUUAAGAUAGGGGAUCUUGGUGGUUUAUUAUAAGGGCAAUAGACCCUUAUUUUUAGCUCAGAUCUCUUCCUACUUAUUAAAACAAAAGAGUAUGGGCUAUGAUGUGUCCUCAUUUUUAGGCAAGAACAGCUUCACUGGGCACAAAAUUACUUGGUGGUUGCUUUAACUUUCACCUUAUUUGUCAUGCUAAGAAUCUUUUAGGAACUGAUUGUCCUAGUAGAGAUUUUUAAAAAUGUUUAAUUCAGUCUAGAAGUGAAAAAGAAAAAUGACACGUUUACUAGUUAUAAAGCAAAUUUGUUUGGGUUUAUGUUAUUUGCUUUUUUUGCUUAUCCAUAUUCGAGGCUGUACUCCUGCUCGCAUACAGAGC
Molecule: small RNA, 1003 nt
Filed under: Pan troglodytes (chimpanzee)
Lineage: Eukaryota; Metazoa; Chordata; Mammalia; Primates; Hominidae
Description: processed transcript
Source: RNAcentral